Molecule: long non-coding RNA, 1956 nt
Organism: Daktulosphaira vitifoliae (grape phylloxera)
Lineage: Eukaryota; Metazoa; Arthropoda; Insecta; Hemiptera; Phylloxeridae
Exons: 6
Source: RefSeq, a predicted model, not a curated record
CCUUAAUUUAAAACGGUAUCAUUGAGAAAAUAAAACUCGGCAUAAGAGUAAUAAACGAUAGUUGAUAACUAGAUAAUCGAUAGAUAAGGCCAUUUGAUUCUUAGGGCUAGUCUUCUGCGCUAAUAUUCUUCAUUCAACAUUUUAAAUCGUAGGUGGCAAGUGUAAGUAUUCUAGUUAUCUGUUAUUGUAAACUAGCCUUUUUUGACACGCAUAUUUUAAAAUGAAUAAUUUAUUUUUUAUUAAAAUUUAUUUAGUUUGUUAUUAAUAUAGUUUCAAUAUUGAAAUUACGUGUUUAUUAAAAAAGGCCUUAAAUUUAUUGUUAAUAUUGAAUUAAUAAUUUUAAUUUUGUACGUCUUUAAUUUAUGAGGCUUUACUAAGGUAAACUCUAAUGCCGCUGUUAGAUAUAAAGAGACCCAAAGCAAGUAUGGUUUUUUGGGGCCUUGUUAAUUUUUUUUUGUAAUUGAGACCUUUUCUUUUACUUUUUUCUAAUGAUUGGUUGCAUUAGGUCCGAGCGCAAGAAAUCGCGUUCCCUAGUGCAAAACAAUUCUGUAACUAAUAUCUAAAAUUUUGUUUUGUCAAAAAAAUUUGUUUUUUAGUUUUGUAAAAUACAUGUCACUCGUGUCUCUUGCAUUCUAAGCCCCUUAUAUCGCAGUACGAGUAUUUUGUACUGAAUAUUUUUAUUUUUUCUAUCGCUUACUGAAUUUUAGCUCUUAUUUUUCUGUUUGCAAGAAUCAUAGCCACAAAAUUUUGUGGUUAUGAGGUGCAUCUAAAAUAACAUCUUAAAGAAUGCUGGUUGUAUUUUUUUUCACCACAAAUAUUUUGAAUAAAAAUAUAUCUACAAUAUAACAAAUGUCCACAAUGUUUUAACAAAUUAAUAAUUUUUUUUUUUUUUAUGUCUGUUGCCACUUUUUCUCAGCUCUCACUGGACCGAUUUCUUCCAACAAUACGUCAAAAGAUCACAAAUCGUAUCUAGUUGAAGACAUUACCCUUAAAAAUUGAAAAAUUUUCCCUCGUUCCUCGCAAAUGGGGGAAAUAUCCAAACAAAUUACAAAUUAAAAUAUCGCUAAUUUUCGAAAUUAUCUCGUAUAGUAUAUAUGAUAUUAACUCAAAAAUUUGAAACUUUAAAUAGUUAAAUUAUACAUGUCAAAACUUGAUGGGACAUCCUAUUUAUGUACAUUAGAUUCUGACAUGAAUUAUGUAUGUUGUAUUAUUAUUAACAUACAUAAUUUUCUAAUUUUGUGGGGAGAGACUAAGCCCCCCUCUAGAACUCCUUAGUUACGCUAUUGAUAAGAGAGUCAACAAUUUUUGAACCAAUGUAUAAAUAAAAUUUAUUUUUCCAUGUAAAAUAUUUAGAAUGAACUUCACUGCUAUAAAUAGAUCUCUGAAAUAUUUUUAAUCUAAUUAAAAUUUAACAAUACAAUUAUUUGAAUUACUAAUUAUAAUCUAUCUUAUCUAAACAAUAUGAUGAUUGACAUUUCACUAAAAGUUAUAUUUAUUUUUUUAAUUAAUGAAUUUUAAUUAAAAGUGUAAAUAAGGAGAUGUAUUUCACUUUCACCAAUAGAGGGGGGGAGGUGGAGGUAAGAAAAGGGGGCCACCACAGCCCAAAAAUGAAAACAAAAAAAAAUUUAGAGGUGCUUGCAAUCACUGUGGCCAAAAUGGCCACAUUGAAAAUUUUUGUCACCUAAAAGCUGCUGGUCUGCCUCCAGUGGCAAUAAUAUGCCCCCAUUGCGGUUUCCCCGGGCACGGGGAAAUGGAAUGCCAUGUCAAAGCAGCUGGUUAUCCACCAUUUAAAAAGACUUGUGGUCAUUGCCAUUUCCCCGGGCACGGGGAACAGGAGUGCCACAUUAAAGCAGCAGGAUUGCCGCCGCUGCCGCCUCCUUCGUCAUUGGACAAAUAAAAAAUUAAUUAAAAAACAAAUUAUUUGAUUUUUACAAUAAAUUACAUUUAAAAAAAAAA